Peromyscus californicus insignis is the source of this 643-nucleotide long non-coding RNA. RefSeq lists it as uncharacterized. The record is from RefSeq and is a predicted model, not a curated record. Lineage: Eukaryota; Metazoa; Chordata; Mammalia; Rodentia; Cricetidae. The transcript is spliced from 3 exons.
GCAGACCAGGCUGGGAGAUCAACCCCUUCUAAUCUGUUCUCCAAAGAGUAUCCAGAGACAUCAGGCUCAAGCUAGAUCUGGUCAUGGUAGCUGUGUUACAGCUCUGGAGGGAAAGGUAUUCUGGCUGUCAGAAGCCAAGUGAUAACAGCCAAAUGAUACAGGAAUGUAGCAGUUCUGUUCUCUCCGGGAGAGAGCACAGCUCAGCUCUGCUCUGCUAAGGGAGUUUCCCCGCAGAAAUGUAGCAAUUCUGCUCCGGCUCCAGCGAGAGCCAUCACAGCUCUGCUUUGCUAAAAGAGUUUUCCCUUCAGCAAAAGUCGUUCUCUGCCCUGCUCCACUCUGGUGAAAGAAGGUGGUCACCCAAACCUCGUUCAAGAGACUUCCUGGGAGGGAGGAAUCCAGGAGAGUGGCUGCCUCUGCCAGGAUGGAAAAAGGCAACCCCCAAACUGAACAGACCCAGGAGACAUAACCAUGUCUGACCUUAUUUCCAACCUCUUCAGCCAGGUCCUGGGCUUUCUCAAUGGCAUCCAAAGCCUGGAAGGUCCCCCCGGCUCCGGUGGAUAUCGGCAAAGCAGAGCAGACAGAGUGCCUGCAGUGGUCGGUCACCGUGCUGCAGAGCAAUCUUCAUGGAUUCCUGCAAGGGAGG